CCUGCGGAGGGAUCAUUACCGAGUUUACAACUCCCAAACCCCUGUGAACAUACCUUUAUGUUGCCUCGGCGGAUCAGCCCGCGCCCCGUAAAACGGGACGGCCCGCCGCAGGAACCACAAAACUCUGAUUUUAGUGUAACUUCUGAGUCUAAAAAACAAAUAAAUCAAAACUUUCAACAACGGAUCUCUUGGUUCUGGCAUCGAUGAAGAACGCAGCAAAAUGCGAUAAGUAAUGUGAAUUGCAGAAUUCAGUGAAUCAUCGAAUCUUUGAACGCACAUUGCGCCCGCCAGUAUUCUGGCGGGCAUGCCUGUUCGAGCGUCAUUUCAACCCUCAAGCCCCCGGGUUUGGUGUUGGGGAUCGGGCUGUACUCCAGCCCGGCCCCGAAAUCUAGUGGCGGUCUCGCUGCAGCCUCCAUUGCGUAGUAGCUAACACCUCGCAACUGGAACGCGGCGCGGCCAAGCCGUUAAACCCCCAACUUCUGAAUGUUGACCUCGGAUCAGGUAGGAAUACCCGCUGAACUUAAGCAUAUC
This 531-nucleotide ribosomal RNA is filed under the name Fusarium brachygibbosum. Its description in RNAcentral is "eukaryotic LSU rRNA". The stretch from base 169 to 322 matches the Rfam family "5.8S ribosomal RNA". The record is from RNAcentral. Lineage: Eukaryota; Fungi; Ascomycota; Sordariomycetes; Hypocreales; Nectriaceae.